Molecule: ribosomal RNA, 196 nt
Filed under: uncultured bacterium
Lineage: Bacteria
Description: partial 16S ribosomal RNA
Rfam family: Bacterial small subunit ribosomal RNA
Source: RNAcentral
ACUCCUACGGGAGGCAGCAGUGGGGAAUUUUGCGCAAUGGGGGAAACCCUGACGCAGCAACGCCGCGUGGGUGAUGAAGGCCUUCGGGUCGUAAAGCUCUGUCUGGAGGGAAGAAAUGAUUGGGAGCUAAUACCUCUUGAUCUUGACGGUACCUCUGAAGGAAGCACCGGCUAACUCCGUGCCGCGCCGCGGUAAU